This 4756-nucleotide long non-coding RNA is filed under the name Chinchilla lanigera (long-tailed chinchilla). Its description in RNAcentral is "lncRNA (ENSCLAG00000028515.1)". The record is from RNAcentral. Lineage: Eukaryota; Metazoa; Chordata; Mammalia; Rodentia; Chinchillidae.
GAAAUGGCAACAGUGAAGCAGAGCUUGAUUUGGCCCCGUAAUCAGCACACAGAAGUGGUUAAAAGGAGUCGGGCCAGAAAAUGUACUAUGGAAAACAACGUGUAGUUACCUAAGAACAUGUUGGAACCUGUGUUUCUCUUAGUCCUCAGUGGCAUUCUAAUUUAGAAUGCAAAAACUCAGAUGCCCUUGACGGUCUACUAAACAAUAAAAGUUUUCUUGUCUCUGACUUUUUUGUUUGUUUGUUUGUUUGUUUUUGUCUUUUUCUGGUACCGGGAAUCGAACUCAUGAUCUCACACUUGCCAGGCAGGUGCUGUGCCACUGAGCUAAAUCCCCAGCCCCUCUCUGACUUUUUUGGGAAACAAAUUAAUUCGGUCCUGAUCUUCUUUAGGCAUAGACUGAGGAAAUGAGCAGAAACGACUGGCUCACACCCCACAGGCUUACUUCAGCGUAAACAUUUAGAGUUUGCGUCUGUCUCUAAAAUUCCUACGGAUAAGUGAGAGUGUGUGAGCAUUAGUUCUAUUAUGUAGGUACAAAAGUCAUUCAGUUUAUUAAUAGUAUGUGUGCGUAUUCAUGUCUCCUGUCAGGAAGGGCAAACGAAGUGGAUUUCCUUAGGAGUAGGAGGGAUCAUACAAGGUCUGUUUACUUGUAAGUACCCCAAGUACUUCAGAUCAGCUCGAAUUUCUGAAGUCCUCUGCUUCCCCUCGGGUCUCAGCUUCAGUGUCCUCAGUCUUUCCCUGACAUCCCUGGCGCGCCCCAGACUGUUCAUGGUGAACCUUCUAGAGCUUUUAGAAAUUACAAACAGCCCGCUGUGGCAUCCAUGCCACAGACCCUGCUGCCCUCUACUCUCACCUUCAUCCUUUGGUGUCUUAUCGGACAUGCUGGCUGCAAACCCCUUUUUAGAAGGUGGACUGUUUGCCCAGGACCCGGUGUACACCGACGUGCACUCGUAAACUUAAUUAGCAGUGCCCUAACUGAUGCCUGGACUGACCCCCCGCUGCUUGACUCUAUUAUUCACUCCAUGCAAGACCAGUCUAAAAUCAUUUCUCUUCCUAACAACCUUUACUGGUUUUCUUUUGUAUUCCAGAUACAAUUUAAGCAUUUUAACAGCACCACAACCUCUCCGUGGGGCCAAAACUGCUUCCCUCGCAUGUAGGAGACACUGGGCUUGAGCCCCAGGACAACAAAUCAACAACAGCAGCAGCAAAAACCUUCAUUUCUGAAGUCCAAAAAUGGUUCAGCACAGGAAAAUUUCCCCGGCCCUCCCCGCACCAAAAAAGAAGAAAACUUUAACUUCGCUCUACUUCCAGGUGUGUAUAGAGAUCAUGCGUACGUUAUUUUCACAUUGGAAACAUUUUGGUUUGGAAUACUUCAAUGCAAGGCUUUGUCAAAGGAUAAGAAAGCUUAGCUUUUGUAUUUGAAUAUGUUUACUUGAAAAUUAUUAUAAUCGUCAACUAAACAAUAAUUUAAGGAAAAUGUAUUUAAAACAUUUGUAUUUGUAUGUACUCAAUACAGCAACAAACUUAUCUGCUCAAAAAUGACCAAAUCGCUGAGCAUGGUAGCACAUGUGUGUAAUUCCAGCCACUCAGGAAGUUUGAGUCCUGCGUGAGCUAUUUAUUUAUUUUUUGAGACAGGGUCUCACUAUGUAAUCCAGGCUGGCCUGGAACUCACUUUGUAGCCUAGGCUGGCCUCAAAUUCACAGCGCUCCUCCUGCUUCAGCCUCCCAAGUACUGGUGCUCACAAAGGUCUUGUCAUCCUGGGAAGUAGAAAUAACAGGGCAGAAGAGAUAUGUUAGAUGCUUCCCUGGCCCUGCUAUUUUUUCACUUCCUUUGCUGUACUGGCAAAUCGAGUUUUGGGUAGGCUGUUUGGUCAGCUGCAGGUCUUGCAUUACUCUGUGCUUUGGGGGUCAGCUUUUGUGCUUCGGUUUUGUGCAUAGGGGUAUGUCCUAGUGGAUUAGAUAGUUUUUUCCCCAUUGGUAGAAAAUUGGUACUUAAGGUAGUGACACGUGGUUAUAUUUCACUGGCUCCUCUAGCCAUGACCUCCCAAUCAUUGUAGAGUAGCCGGUACCUACCCCACUCCAAGAGCCUUGUGCAUAGAGUUCUGUUUCUAUAAUUUAAAAAUUAUGCUAAUAACAUUGCAGGCCAGGAAUGCUUGAUGUAAAGAACUCCACAUAGAUUCAAAUUCUUUUUUUUUUUUUUUUUUUUUUUUUUGCCGUACCGGGGAUCGAACUCACGACCUUGUGCUUGCCAGGCAGGCGCUUAUGCCACUGAGCUAUAGCCCCAGCCCCUCAAAUUCUUUUUGUUUCAUUGCUGAUUUUUUUCAUUUAUAUGCUCAUGCUAUACUACUUUCACUGCUUCAGGAUUUUGUGUUGCCUCACUCAUUUUAUUAAUUCCUCUGUUUAAUAUUAUUUAUUGUAUAUGUAGAGCAUGCAGAGCAUCCAUGCAAUCUUUGUGGCUUUGGACAAAAUUUUUACUAUGGAUAAUUUAGAAUUAUUCUGUUCAGUGUGGAAGCCACUAGCCACAUGUGAUUUUUGAUCACCCGAAAUGAAGGUAGUCUGAAAUGAGAUACGCUGUACAGGAUGCAGCAGAUUUUAAAGACGCAUCACGAAAACAGGAAAUGUAAAACAUUUCACUGAUAACUUUUAUAUUAGUUCCAUACUAAAAUACUAUUUUUGCUAUAUUAGGUCAAAUUAAAUAUAUUAUUUAAUAAUACCUAUUUAGGAGCCCAGGAAAUAGCUCAGUGGCACUGUCCCUGCCUGGCAAGUGCAAGGUUCUGAGCUUGAUUCCCCUACCCUCCCCCACCAAAAAAGCUUAAGAAUAACACCUAUUUAUAACUUUUCUUUUUGCUGUGCUUUGCUAGAAAUCUCAAUAUUGCAUAUUACAGCCAGCAUUAUAUUUUUGCUGGAUAAUGCUACCUUUUGGAUUGUACUAGUAUGUUUAUUCUUUCCAUAAAAGAUUAUGAGUCAUGGUUAUUGAGCCCUCUUUUAUUUUUGUUUCAAUUUUGAUAAUAGCAUACUUCAAAAAUCCCAUUAAUUUUUGUCAAUUUGCUACACUAUUUCUAAAUAAAUUUGGAACCUGGGUGCAUGUCUCUGGACAACCAUAUUCAUUAAUAACAAAGUAACAUUUGUUUUGUUUUGUUUUGUUUUUUCCAGUACUGGGAAUCGAACUCAUGACCUUGUACUUGCCAGGCAGAUGCUGUGCCGCUGAGCUAAAUCCCCAAUCCCCCAAAGUAACAUUUGUAAAGUGACGAAUAUUACCCAGAAAUCUUGAUUCGGUAUUCCCAACAAUUAUGCUUGAAUUUUUACAUAAGUUACUAAAACUUUAAAGGAAAUCUUUAUUGGUUUUGUUUUGUUUUUUAACCUUUAUAGCUAUACAGACAUGAGGUCAUGGUACUUGCAUGAUGUAAUAGAUUGUGAAAUAUGAAAGAAAUAAAAACUCAAUCUUGAGCAUUUAGUCAUUUGUGAAACUAUAGAUAGAUAAGUAUAGACCAGCCUGGGCUACAAAGUGAGCUUAAGGCCAGCCUGAACUGCAUAGCGAGACCCUGUUUCAAAAAAGACCAAGAAACAAACCAAAAAAAGGAGGUAGAAGCAUGAUUUUUAGCUAAGAAGUAUGAUACACAUCUCGACAAGGCACGUGUUUCUGUAGUGUAGUGGUUAUUAUGUUUGCCUGACACAUCUAGACAAGGCUAGCCUCUUAAUAGGAACCCAGAAUGAGAAAUAGUUGUUUCUGUUUUUGUUUUUUUUUCUUCUGAGACAAAGUAUUGCUAAAUUGUCCAGGUUUUAUCAUCCUGCUUCAGCAUUCCAAGUAGUUGGGAUUACAAGUGUGUACCACAAUACCUAGUUUUUUUCAUUCCUUUUUGUUAGUAACUCUCAAUUAUUUUUGUAUUAUACUUCUUGGGAAAAUAACCAGUCUUGCCAGGUAUGGUGGCAUAUGCCUGCAGUCCCAGCACUUGGGAGGCUGAGGCAGGGGGAUUGAUGUGAGUUUGAGGCUAGCCCGUGGUACAUAGUGAGUUCAAGAUCAGCCUGAACUAUAUACCAAGACCGUCUUAACACCCCUCCCCAAAAGACAAGUCUGAGAAUAUUAAGCUUUGAUUAUGGCUUCUCAUACAUUCUCAUACUUUGAGAAAAGAUAAAGAAGUCUGAGACAUAUUUUUGUGUUCAAGAAAAAUAUAUAAAUGAUAUAAUUACCAAUAUGUAUGGAAGGGCAUCUGUGAGAAUUCCACAGCAAACGUAUGUAAUGAUUAUACUUUAGAAAUAUUCUCAAUAAAGUCUGGAAGAAGACAAAAUGAAGAGUGAGGGCAAAUAUAUCCACUGCCACCUGUCUUGUUUAUGUUCCGCAAAGUCUUAAGCUGAGAGAAAUCAAAGUGGAAAAAAAGACAUGUUGAUAAUGAUAUGGUAUAAUAUAUAUACUAUUUCUCUAAAUCAGUUACAUCUAUCAUGAAAAUACAGUUGAAAAUAAACUUUUAAUGUGUUAUAUAGAAAUUAACUUAACAAUGUACAAGGUCUUUAUGAUGCAAAUUUUAAAAUUCUAUUAAAAGACAUAAAGUAUGGACUAAAUGUUUGGUGUUUUGUUUGUUUGGUUUUUCUUCUGGUACCAGGAAUCGAACUCACGACCUUGCGCUUGCCAGGCAGGCGCUUUGCCACUGAGCUACAUCCCCAGCCCCAGCAUGGAAUACAUGGAGAAACAACUUUUAAUAAGUGGGUUAUUUAGGGGAGCACCAAGACGGUGGGGUGCCUUACAAGGAAAUCCGAAGGAGUCUU